RNAcentral lists this ribosomal RNA (607 nucleotides) under uncultured Capnodiales. RNAcentral describes it as "eukaryotic LSU rRNA". The stretch from base 217 to 370 matches the Rfam family "5.8S ribosomal RNA". The record is from RNAcentral. Lineage: Eukaryota; Fungi; Ascomycota; Dothideomycetes; Capnodiales.
CUUGGUCAUUUAGAGGAAGUAAAAGUCGUAACAAGGUCUCCGUAGGUGAACCUGCGGAGGGAUCAUUACUGAGAAAGGGCCUUCGGGUCCGACCUCCAACCCCAUGUUUUCUGUCCUUGUUGCUUCGGGGGACGAAGCCGCCUCGCGCGGUGGACGCCCCGGAGAACCACUAAACUCUGCAUCAUUUGCGUCUGAGUAUUAUUUUGAAUAAAUCAAAACUUUCAACAACGGAUCUCUUGGUUCUGGCAUCGAUGAAGAACGCAGCGAAAUGCGAUAAGUAAUGUGAAUUGCAGAAUUCAGUGAAUCAUCGAAUCUUUGAACGCACAUUGCGCCCUUUGGUAUUCCUUAGGGCACACCUGUUCGAGCGUCAUUAUCACCCCUCAAGCCCCGGCUUGGUGUUGGACCGCGUUGUAGACAUUGCCUGCAACGGGCCUCAAAGACAAUGACGCCGUCCCAGAGGGACCCGGUACGAGGAGCUUCUAGUUAAGCAUGUACGCGGGAGGACUCUGCGGGCGACGGUCUUUUUUACUUAUUUUUCUUCUUAAGUGUUUGACCUCGGAUCAGGUAGGGAUACCCGCUGAACUUAAGCAUAUCAAUAAGCGGAGGA